This 149-nucleotide small nuclear RNA is filed under the name Octodon degus (degu). Its description in RNAcentral is "U4 spliceosomal RNA (ENSODEG00000022827.1)". The stretch from base 1 to 65 matches the Rfam family "U4 spliceosomal RNA". Lineage: Eukaryota; Metazoa; Chordata; Mammalia; Rodentia; Octodontidae. The record is from Rfam by way of RNAcentral.
AGCUUUGUGCAGUGGCAGUAUUGUAGCCAAUGAGGUUUAUCCAUGGAGCGAUUAUUGCUAAUUAAGCAUGUGUGUCUGAUUUAUUUCACUUAACAUUGUGAUCUCAAGGUGCAGCUGGUUUCUGACACUUUCCUACAUUGCAUAUGAAU